This 1470-nucleotide ribosomal RNA is filed under the name metagenome. RNAcentral's name for it is "bacterial SSU rRNA". It matches the Rfam family "Bacterial small subunit ribosomal RNA". The record is from RNAcentral.
AGAGUUUGAUCCUGGCUCAGGACGAACGCUGGCGGCACGCUUAACACAUGCAAGUCGAACGAGAGAAGAGGAGCUUGCUUUUCUGAUCUAGUGGCGGACGGGUGAGUAACACGUGAGCAAUCUGCCUUUCAGAGGGGGAUACCGAUUGGAAACGAUCGUUAAUACCGCAUAACAUAAUUGAACCGCAUGAUUUGAUUAUCAAAGAUUUAUCGCUGAAAGAUGAGCUCGCGUCUGAUUAGCUAGUUGGUAAGGUAACGGCUUACCAAGGCGACGAUCAGUAGCCGGACUGAGAGGUUGAUCGGCCACAUUGGGACUGAGACACGGCCCAGACUCCUACGGGAGGCAGCAGUGGGGAAUAUUGCUCAAUGGAGGAAACUCUGAUGCAGCGAUGCCGCGUGAGGGAAGAAGGUUUUAGGAUUGUAAACCUCUGUCUUCAGGGACGAAAAAAGACGGUACCUGAGGAGGAAGCUCCGGCUAACUACGUGCCAGCAGCCGCGGUAAUACGUAGGGAGCGAGCGUUGUCCGGAAUUACUGGGUGUAAAGGGAGCGUAGGCGGGAUCGCAAGUCAGAUGUGAAAACUAUGGGCUUAACCCAUAAACUGCAUUUGAAACUGUGGUUCUUGAGUGAAGUAGAGGUAAGCGGAAUUCCUAGUGUAGCGGUGAAAUGCGUAGAUAUUGGGAGGAACAUCAGUGGCGAAGGCGGCUUACUGGGCUUUAACUGACGCUGAGGCUCGAAAGCGUGGGGAGCAAACAGGAUUAGAUACCCUGGUAGUCCACGCCGUAAACGAUGAUUACUAGGCGUGGGGGGACUGACCCCUUCCGUGCCGCAGCAAACGCAAUAAGUAAUCCACCUGGGGAGUACGACCGCAAGGUUGAAACUCAAAGGAAUUGACGGGGGCCCGCACAAGCAGUGGAGUAUGUGGAUUAAUUCGAAGCAACGCGAAGAACCUUACCAGGUCUUGACAUCGUAUGCAUAGCUCAGAGAUGAGUGAAAUCUCUUCGGAGACAUAUAGACAGGUGGUGCAUGGUUGUCGUCAGCUCGUGUCGUGAGAUGUUGGGUUAAGUCCCGCAACGAGCGCAACCCUUACUGUUAGUUGCUACGCAAGAGCACUCUAGCAGGACUGCCGUUGACAAAACGGAGGAAGGUGGGGAUGACGUCAAAUCAUCAUGCCCCUUAUGACCUGGGCCUCACACGUACUACAAUGGCUGUCAACAGAGGGAAGCAAAGCCGCGAGGUGGAGCGAACCCCUAAAAGCAGUCUUAGUUCGGAUUGUAGGCUGCAACCCGCCUACAUGAAGUCGGAAUUGCUAGUAAUCGCAGAUCAACAUGCUGCGGUGAAUACGUUCCCGGGCCUUGUACACACCGCCCGUCACGCCAUGGGAGUCGGUAACACCCGAAGCCUGUAGUCUAACCGCAAGGAGGACGCAGUCGAAGGUGGGAUUGAUGACUGGGGUGAAGUCGUAACAAGGUA